AGCCUAUGAUGAGCCUUUUAUUUCUGACACCUCAUAUGAAAGUGUUGCACAGCAAUGCUUGAUUAUGCUUUUCUAGCUGAGGCUU
RNAcentral lists this small nucleolar RNA (85 nucleotides) under Callorhinchus milii (elephant shark). Its description in RNAcentral is "Small nucleolar RNA SNORD60 (ENSCMIG00000008518.1)". It matches the Rfam family "Small nucleolar RNA SNORD60". From Rfam's summary of the family: U60 belongs to the C/D class of snoRNA which contain the C (UGAUGA) and D (CUGA) box motifs. Most of the members of the box C/D family function in directing site-specific 2'-O-methylation of substrate RNAs. The record is from Rfam by way of RNAcentral. Lineage: Eukaryota; Metazoa; Chordata; Chondrichthyes; Chimaeriformes; Callorhinchidae.